AACGAACGCUGGCGGCAUGCCUAACACAUGCAAGUCGAACGAGAUCUUCGGGUCUAGUGGCGCACGGGUGCGUAACGCGUGGGAAUCUGCCCUUUGGUUCGGAAUAACAGUUGGAAACGACUGCUAAUACCGGAUGAUGACGAAAGUCCAAAGAUUUAUCGCCAGAGGAUGAGCCCGCGUAGGACUAGCUAGUUGGUGUGGUAAAGGCGCACCAAGGCGACGAUCCUUAGCUGGUCCGAGAGGAUGAUCAGCCACACUGGGACUGAGACACGGCCCAGACUCCUACGGGAGGCAGCAGUGGGGAAUAUUGGACAAUGGGCGAAAGCCUGAUCCAGCAAUGCCGCGUGAGUGAUGAAGGCCUUAGGGUUGUAAAGCUCUUUUACCCGGGAUGAUAAUGACAGUACCGGGAGAAUAAGCUCCGGCUAACUCCGUGCCAGCAGCCGCAGUAA
Molecule: ribosomal RNA, 449 nt
Filed under: uncultured bacterium
Lineage: Bacteria
Description: partial 16S ribosomal RNA
Rfam family: Bacterial small subunit ribosomal RNA
Source: RNAcentral